This 437-nucleotide ribosomal RNA is filed under the name Micoletzkya sp. WEM-2009. RNAcentral's name for it is "SSU rRNA". It matches the Rfam family "Eukaryotic small subunit ribosomal RNA", at positions 91 to 532 of the family's 1831-position model. The record is from RNAcentral. Lineage: Eukaryota; Metazoa; Nematoda; Chromadorea; Rhabditida; Diplogasteridae.
GAACGGCUCAUUAAAACAGCUAUAAUCUACUCGUUCUUGAUUUCCUAAACGGAUAACUGCGAUAAUUUUGGAGCUAAUACGUGCACCAAAGCCUUCUCCUCACGGAUGGGCGCACUUAUUAGAACAAGACCAAUCGGUGCAAGCCGUUUUGGUGACUCUGAAUAAUUUCGCUGAUCGCAUGGUCUAGUACCGGCGACGUAACGUUCGAGUAUCUGCCUUAUCAACUGUCGAUGGAAGUCUAUGUGGCUACCAUGGUUGUAACGGGUAACGGAGAAUAAGGGUUCGACUCCGGAGAGGGAGCCUGAGAAACGGCUACCACAUCCAAGGAAGGCAGCAGGCGCGUAAAUUACCCACUCUCAAUGCGAGGAGGUAGUGACUAUCAAUAACGAGACAGAUCUCUUUGAGGCCUGUUAUCGGAAUGGGUACAAUUUAAACCC